RNAcentral lists this ribosomal RNA (274 nucleotides) under uncultured bacterium. RNAcentral describes it as "partial 16S ribosomal RNA". It matches the Rfam family "Bacterial small subunit ribosomal RNA", at positions 523 to 796 of the family's 1533-position model. The record is from RNAcentral.
AUACGGAGGGGGCUAGCGUUGUUCGGAAUUACUGGGCGUAAAGCGUACGUAGGCGGACUGAUCAGUUGGGGGUGAAAUCCCAGGGCUUAACCCUGGAACUGCCUUCAAUACUGUCAGUCUUGAGAUUGGAAGAGGUGAGUGGAAUUCCUAGUGUAGAGGUGAAAUUCAUAGAUAUUAGGAGGAACACCAGUGGCGAAGGCGGCUCACUGGCUCGAUACUGACGCUGAGGUGCGAAAGCGUGGGGAGCAAACAGGAUUAGAAACCCUAGUAGUCC